Molecule: ribosomal RNA, 602 nt
Filed under: uncultured bacterium
Lineage: Bacteria
Description: bacterial SSU rRNA
Rfam family: Bacterial small subunit ribosomal RNA
Source: RNAcentral
GCUAGUUGGUAAGGUAAUGGCUUACCAAGGCGAUGACGGGUAGGGGACCUGAGAGGGUGGCCCCCCACAAUGGAACUGAAACACGGUCCAUACACCUACGGGUGGCAGCAGUAGGGAAUAUUAGUAAUGGGCGAAAGCCUGAACUAGCAACGCCGCGUGUGCGAAGAAGGCCUUCGGGUCGUAAAGCACUUUUUGAGAGGAUGAGGAAGGACGGUACUCUCAGAAUAAGUCUCGGCUAACUACGUGCCAGCAGCCGCGGUAACACGUAGGAGGCAAACGUUAUCCGGAUUUACUGGGCGUAAAGCGCGUGUAGGUGGUUUGGUAAGUAGGGCGUGAAAGCUCCUGGCUCAACUGGGAGAGGACGUUCUAAACUGCCAAGCUUGAGGAUGGUAGAGGGAGGUGGAAUUCCGGGUGUAGCGGUGGAAUGCGCAGAUAUCCGGAGGAACACCAGUGGCGAAGGCGGCCUCCUGGACCACUCCUGACACUCAGACGCGAAAGCUAGGGUAGCAAACGGGAUUAGAGACCCCGGUAGUCCUAGCCCUAAACGAUGUAGACUUGGCGUCGGUGGUCUAAUCGCCAUCGGUGUCGUAGCUAACGCGAUA